This 468-nucleotide ribosomal RNA is filed under the name uncultured bacterium. RNAcentral's name for it is "partial 16S ribosomal RNA". It matches the Rfam family "Bacterial small subunit ribosomal RNA", at positions 28 to 507 of the family's 1533-position model. The record is from RNAcentral.
GACGAACGCUGGCGGCGUGCUUAACACAUGCAAGUCGAACGGAAAGGCCCUGCUUUUGUGGGGUGCUCGAGUGGCGAACGGGUGAGUAACACGUGAGUAACCUGCCCUUGACUUUGGGAUAACUUCAGGAAACUGGGGCUAAUACCGGAUAGGAGCUCCUGCUGCAUGGUGGGGGUUGGAAAGUUUCGGCGGUUGGGGAUGGACUCGCGGCUUAUCAGCUUGUUGGUGGGGUAGUGGCUUACCAAGGCUUUGACGGGUAGCCGGCCUGAGAGGGUGGACGGCGACAUUGGGACUGAGAGACGGCGCAGACGGCUACGGGAGGCAGCAGUGGGGAAUAUUGCACAGUGGGCGGAAGCCUGAUGCAGCAACGCCGCGUGCGGGAUGACCGCCUUCGGGUUGUAAACCGCUUUCGCCUGUGACGAAGCGUUAGUGACGGUAAUGGGUAAAGAAGCACCGGCUAACUACGUG